Molecule: long non-coding RNA, 1853 nt
Organism: Equus caballus (horse)
Lineage: Eukaryota; Metazoa; Chordata; Mammalia; Perissodactyla; Equidae
Source: Ensembl
UGGCUCAACGCCUCCCCCCUCUGAUUUGUCCACCUCUCAGCUGCAGCAGUCUCUUGCAGAGUAAAAGGGAUCCCAGCUCCUUGUUUGAAUGCUGUGGGGUUUCGAGUAGAAAAAGAAAUACUGCUCCUUUAAAGAGAAGAGUUUCAGGUGAUAGAGGCCCUUCUUGCUGGCGAAGACUGGAGGGAGAGCUGGGGCCUCAGCCCAGCUUCGGGGUGGCCUCAAUUGGCCCGGACUGACUAAUAAAGUGUGAAAUUGACUUUAUCCUCCACCAUGUCUCCCAGCCAGAGUGUCCCUGUAGCAUCUCCCUCUGCCACAACUGAUGCAGCACUGCGGCCGUCCCCUCUGUCGCUGGUAGACAGGCAGAUCAUCAACGCCCACGCAGCCCCGGCUGGCGCUCUGCAGAGCCCAUGAAGCCGUUUGGCCUCGGGCCAGGAUGGGCCUACAAAGCCAGAAGCAUCUGAUGUGGCAUGUCUGACGCACCUCCUAAGCCAGCCGCUGGCUGCUCCUGUCCCUGUUUACUCCUCUGGCACUGGCUUCUAAGGCAGGGGCGGGAGCUGGAGGGAGAGACAGCGUUAGGUGAGCUCUUUGAGACUCCCCCCACCCCGCCCUGCCUGUUGCACCAAAUGCAAGGUUGGAGCAUCAGAGCAAAAGGAACCUCAGAAAGCAAUGAAAUCUGGGUGCUCAGGGGAGCCGCUGGGGGCCUUAGGGGCUGCUUGGGGGGAUAUGGGAGGGCCUGAAACCCCUCCUUCCACCAGGACAGGGCCAUUUUUUGAUCUAUUUUUUAAAUUUGAUCCUGUUUAAGAUUUCCCAGGAAGAAAAGGAUUCCAUGACUCUAAGAAGUCCUAAAACCAAUGAUCUAUCCAGCAGUCAUUCCCAAAGCUGCCUGUGCAUCGGGAUCAACUGGGUGACUUGUCCUCUCCCAUAGCCAGUAAGGCUGAAGAAGUCCUGAAGAAAUGCUGGACUUGCCCUUCAACAUCCAGAGGUGCCCUUCCUGGCUCUACUUCCCUCGUCCUCUGCUGGGCUGCCACCAGUUCACCGGGUUGCUGGGAGGACUGAUAACAGCAUGUGUGGUGGUUGACAUGUGCUGUUGUCUGCCCAUCACCCAUUUCCCCUGCAUCUAAUUACAGAAUGCCCCUUGUCCCUUAGGCACCCACCCUUUCCCACUCUCAAGUCAUGUGGUAUAAGCAGCACUGACCCUCAUGGUACCCCCAAUUCUAAUGGGGUCUCUUCCCCUGCAUCCUGGGGUGUGUGACUUGGGCCUGUUCAAUCUCUGUGUUCCAUGCCUCUUGCCACAAGACUUGAUUUGAGAUGGACAACAAACCCAGUCUAUUCUAUAAGAGUCAAUUCCUGGACCUUGGGCUCAAACUCUUGGGGGAGAGAAAUUCUGUUUCUAGUAGGGUUGUCGAGCUGCAAGAUUUGAGUCUGGAGCUUUCAACAACCAUUUUCCAGCUUCCUAGGGGAAAGCUAGUCUGAGAAUGAAGUUAGCACAGAGCCAAGGGACCAAGACACAGAGACCCUAAGCUGCUGGAUCCACCUGGGCCUGAUGCCAGACAACCCUGUACAUCUCAGUCACAUGAACCAAUAAAUUUUCCUUUCUUGGUCAACCUGAUCUGAGUUGACAUUCUGCUCCUUGCAAUAAAAAAAAAAUAACUAAUAUAGCAUGAGUUUUUGAAAAAGCUGAACUAUGUUCUUCUUUGGCUGAGUCAUAUAUGUAUAAAGGGGAGUAGGAGAGAAAAGGUUGGGAAAUUAGGCUGCAGAUACACGGCAGGGGGCCUUGAAGACUUGAGAUGGGCCACCCAGUCUCUGAGACCACCUGAACACAGGAUCUCCUGAGGCCAGGUGAUCCUAGGAGU